RNAcentral lists this ribosomal RNA (497 nucleotides) under uncultured Bacteroidota bacterium. RNAcentral's name for it is "SSU rRNA". It matches the Rfam family "Bacterial small subunit ribosomal RNA", at positions 242 to 736 of the family's 1533-position model. Lineage: Bacteria; Pseudomonadati; Bacteroidota. The record is from RNAcentral.
CAGCUAGUUGGCGGGGUAACGGCCCACCAAGGCGACGAUGUCUAGGGGAUCUGAGAGGAUGACCCCCCACACUGGUACUGAGACACGGACCAGACUCCUACGGGAGGCAGCAGUAAGGAAUAUUGGUCAAUGGGCGCAAGCCUGAACCAGCCAUGCCGCGUGCAGGAAGACGGCCCUACGGGUUGUAAACUGCUUUUGCAGGGGAAUAAACCCCCGUUCGUGAACGGGGCUGAAUGUACUCUGAGAAUAAGGAUCGGCUAACUCCGUGCCAGCAGCCGCGGUAAUACGGAGGAUCCAAGCGUUAUCCGGAUUUAUUGGGUUUAAAGGGUGCGUAGGCGGCCUAUUAAGUCAGGGGUGAAAGACGGUAGCUUAACUAUCGCAGUGCCUUUGAUACUGAUGGGCUUGAAUACACUAGAGGUAGGCGGAAUGUGACAAGUAGCGGUGAAAUGCAUAGAUAUGUCACAGAACACCAAUUGCGAAGGCAGCUUACUAUGGUG